Sycon ciliatum is the source of this 4138-nucleotide long non-coding RNA. RefSeq lists it as uncharacterized. The record is from RefSeq and is a predicted model, not a curated record. NCBI's taxonomy places the organism in Eukaryota, Metazoa, Porifera, Calcarea, Leucosolenida, Sycettidae. The transcript has 13 exons.
AUGAAACAAGAUGAAACGCCAAUGUACGGGCGCAGAUGGGGCCGAGAUGAAACGAAAUGAAACAAAAUGAAACAAGAUGAAACAAGAUGAAACAAGAUGAAACCAAAAUGAAACUCGAAGUACGGGCGUAGAUGGGCCGCGAAUGAAACAAGAUGAAACAAGAUGAAACAAGAUGAAACAAUGUACGGGCGGAGAUGGGCCGCGCCCAGUGCACCCGGCGUGACGUGCACGAGCGAAAAGAACUGAAUUAAUCCAAUCAUUGAAAUAAUUUUGUUUGCAGAGGCAAUUCGCGCAAGGGAGGUAUGGCUUGCGAGUGACAGCACGAGCCGAAUUUAUUGCCCGUGGAAGUACCCACGAUAGGAAUACACUGUUGGGAACAUGGUGGCGCCGCUGACGGUACCUAUGUAAGUGGAAUUACUUUAUUGGAAGUACCCACGACGGGGAAAAUAGUCUCUCUAGUAUUGUCGGUGAAUGGUGAUGGUGGUGGUGGCGAUGGCUACUUUCCUCUGCUCAGAGAGAACCCCUGCAUGUCCUUCGUCGUGAUGCGAAAGAGCAGUGGAUGCAGAAAAUGUCUCUACCUGCCAGGAUGGUAUAAGAGCACGAACUGAAUCACCUGUUGGUGCAGAAGGCUUGGAGGACUGCUUUUGAAACAGUUGUUCAAAUUUCCUGCACCUCUUCGUAGCCGUUGUCUGAUUGCUGCAUUCUGGGGAGACUGAAGUUAAGAAGCCCUCACCGAAACCAACACUACGUUGCUGUGUUGUUUUCUUCCAAGGUCGGGCACAGUAAAGGAGACGACUCUGUAUCAAGGCACUACCCAGAGGGAGGAUGUUGGCCUUCUCCUGAUGGGAAAAUGUCUUCUUUCUCAUGGCGUGGCCAGGACUGCACUGACCCUACCAUCCACUCUACCUCUCCGGAAAGGGACUUGACAACCAGUCAAGAUGGAUGUGCAGAGAUAUACUAGCGCUUCUAGCAUUAACUGCCAAUUUGCACUGACGCAGCAAGACUCCCAACAGUCAAAAAAUGUCUCUACCUGCCAGGAUGGUAUAAGAGCACGAACUGAAUCACCUGUUGGUGCAGAAGGCUUGGAGGACUGCUUUUGAAACAGUUGUUCAAAUUUCCUGCACCUCUUCGUAGCCGUUGUCUGAUUGCUGCAUUCUGGGGAGACUGAAGUUAAGAAGCCCUCACCGAAACCAACACUACGUUGCUGUGUUGUUUUCUUCCAAGGUCGGGCACAGUAAAGGAGACGACUCUGUAUCAAGGCACUACCCAGAGGGAGGAUGUUGGCCUUCUCCUGAUGGGAAAAUGUCUUCUUUCUCAUGGCGUGGCCAGGACUGCACUGACCCUACCAUCCACUCUACCUCUCCGGAAAGGGACUUGACAACCAGUCAAGAUGGAUGUGCAGAGAUAUACUAGCGCUUCUAGCAUUAACUGCCAAUUUGCACUGACGCAGCAAGACUCCCAACAGUCAAAAAAUGUCUCUACCUGCCAGGAUGGUAUAAGAGCACGAACUGAAUCACCUGUUGGUGCAGAAGGCUUGGAGGACUGCUUUUGAAACAGUUGUUCAAAUUUCCUGCACCUCUUCGUAGCCGUUGUCUGAUUGCUGCAUUCUGGGGAGACUGAAGUUAAGAAGCCCUCACCGAAACCAACACUACGUUGCUGUGUUGUUUUCUUCCAAGGUCGGGCACAGUAAAGGAGACGACUCUGUAUCAAGGCACUACCCAGAGGGAGGAUGUUGGCCUUCUCCUGAUGGGAAAAUGUCUUCUUUCUCAUGGCGUGGCCAGGACUGCACUGACCCUACCAUCCACUCUACCUCUCCGGAAAGGGACUUGACAACCAGUCAAGAUGGAUGUGCAGAGAUAUACUAGCGCUUCUAGCAUUAACUGCCAAUUUGCACUGACGCAGCAAGACUCCCAACAGUCAAGUAUGUUUCAUUGCAUGCACUAGGAUUACAGUAGAAUGCCGAUUAUCCGAAUGUCAACUGUCCAAACGGUCAAUUAUCCGAAAUUCCUGUUUGCACUGAAUUCAAUUCAAUAAGUCGACUUAUACCGGUAAAAUAUGGUAACAGCGGGACUGUAGGGUGUGGCAUUUCCAUGAUACAGUGGAAAAUUUCACGAUUUUUGGUGCAAACAUAGCUCGGACGCUGCUCGAUUGGAUAUACAAUGCAGGUUCUUGGAACCACGGACACGACUCUUCGAUUCAAGGAUCACAACACUUCGGGAUCUGAACGUUUUAGGUCCGGGAGCUGUUCGCGGUUUUGUCGCUUGUCACGGUUGUGGACUCAUCGUUGUAGCAUAAAUGAGGCUGGACUAUUCCAAGCGGAAAACUAAAAUAUUUCCUUCUCAAAGCACAAUCACCGGCCCGGAGGAGCACACCUUCUCUAACUACAUACCGGGUGCAGUACAUGACACGUCCGUGUAUUGACUAGUCUCUUGUACAUUAAUUUUAGAUCUACCACACGACUCGCGUAGCGCUAGCACAGCAGUGCGGGUGUAGUCAUGUACUACUACUACUACAGUACUGCCGGGCGCCGAUGAACGGCCAGGCUAUGAUUUCGCUAUUUUUUAAGAACGGUCUAGGUAGAAACGUGAUGUACAAUAUGAAUAUGAUGUACACUCAGACGUAUAACUCUGCAUAAAUGUACAUGUAAGACUGAACCAUCGAAUAUGAACGAAACUGCUGUGUUCGCCAAAAAUAAGAACGGGCUAGGCUAGAACCCUGACCCCGUUCUUCGGCGCCCGGCAGUACUGUAGUGUAAUGUCCCGUAUGUUUGUUGACUAUGGCAUGCACGCAGAAGCCAGCGGAUGUAAAAAGUCCAACUCGGAAACGGCUAAAAACGGGGUAUCCUCAAAUUUUGCCGAGCUGAAAAUCACAGGGUACGUAGGGCUUGUAACAGUGAGUCGAAUGCUCUUGGUACGAAGAAGCUGCGACAGAUAGUUCUCAAAUCGAACGCGUUUCGAAUAUUGGCCAUUUUGCACACAAAUAGAUGGUGUGGCUACCUGGCUGCACACUGUGACCUUAUCACCUGGAUCAGGUAGACUGCGUGCUCGCUUUCGCUCAUUUUCGAUUAGGCGUAUCUGACGAACCAUGGACCGCCGCCUCCUCGGAAAAGAACAUUCGACUCAGCGCCCCAAACUCUAUGGGUCCUGAAAUUAAAAAAAAUUCAGCAGACUUCCCCUAUAAUACGUAAGGCAGAACUUAUUACAGUCCUUGAUUAGAAGUUGACAUAUUCUUGUACGAAUCCGGUGUCUUUUGUGAAAAGUGUAUGCAAGCCUUUUAAAAAGCAUCUCCCACCAGGCAUUCGAUCGAAUUUUUCAUGGCGUGGAGAUUUGUUACGGCGUGAACCGAUGCUUGGCGUGUAGAAUUUGCUUUUUGAUGUGUUCUUUGGAAGAUGCAGUCUUAAAAAUGGUGUGGAUGUCUUUGUUUCUGUCCUUCUGCUGUCCUCGUAGAAAGAAUAAUAUAGACGUGCAGAAAAUGUAGGAGAGCGAUGACAUCAGAAGGACACUCUCAGGUUCAGGGUACCUGUACUGCCCCAAUAAAGUGGGUCAGAUCCCAAAACGAGGUUGGCCGAAGCAAAAAAAAUAGAAGAGCCUGCCUUGAACUGAAUAUGAGGAGGAAGAAGAAGAAGACAAAGAAAGAGAAAGAGUAGGAAUUUGUUUGUGUAAACUUUGUUUCCUCUGUCUAGGCUGCCACCGCAUUAUAGCAGCCAACAGUGUGUGUGUGUGUGCGUGCGUGCGUGCGUGCGUGCGUGCGUGUGUGUGUUUGCGUUUGUGUGCACACGCUUGUGUGCACACGCUUGUGUGUGUGUUUGCAUGUGUGUAUAUUCUGCUAAUCUUGACUUAAAUUUCCACAUCUGGGCAUAUUGUGUUCUGUAUGUGAAUUUAUCUUCAUUAACUUGUGCGCUACGUUCCUUUCUUCACGUUACGGCACUUUAGUAUUGUUUUACUUGAACAUCAUACUCUCGCCCAACUUUGUUUCACCAACAAAGGUUUAUUCUCCAAAGUAUUUCUAAUUGAUUGUGUAUGAGUUUCAUACUACUGUCAGGGGCGUCGGAAUGUUUUUUAGUGUGGUACGGUCAGCCAUCUGAAGUACAAUUGACUCGUGGGGGAGUGUUGGCUGAGCCGAAAAUUUUGGAAUUUUA